RNAcentral lists this ribosomal RNA (306 nucleotides) under uncultured Fusarium. Its description in RNAcentral is "partial large subunit ribosomal RNA". It matches the Rfam family "Eukaryotic large subunit ribosomal RNA", at positions 40 to 350 of the family's 3401-position model. Lineage: Eukaryota; Fungi; Ascomycota; Sordariomycetes; Hypocreales; Nectriaceae. The record is from RNAcentral.
AUAUCAAUAAGCGGAGGAAAAGAAACCAACAGGGAUUGCCUUAGUAACGGCGAGUGAAGCGGCAACAGCUCAAAUUUGAAAUCUGGCCCUAGGCCCGAGUUGUAAUUUGCAGAGGAUGCUUCUGGCGACGUGCCUUCCAAGUUCCCUGGAACGGGACGCCAUUGAGGGUGAGAGCCCCGUCUGGUCGUGCACCUAGCCUCUGUGAAGCUCCUUCGACGAGUCGAGUAGUUUGGGAAUGCUGCUCUAAAUGGGAGGUAUACGUCUUCUAAAGCUAAAUAUAGGCCAGAGACCGAUAGCGCACAAGUA